Molecule: long non-coding RNA, 964 nt
Organism: Lycium barbarum (goji berry)
Lineage: Eukaryota; Viridiplantae; Streptophyta; Magnoliopsida; Solanales; Solanaceae
Exons: 2
Source: RefSeq, a predicted model, not a curated record
CCUUCAUCUUCACUAUAAAAAACAACCAAAACAGACCCUAAAAACAAACGACCCCUUUUUCUUCAAACAGAGGACACAAAAAAAGGACUGUUCAUCAUCUUCUUCGUACAACAAAUGACCCAGUUCUUCCAAAAAACGCAGUGAAUCCAAACGAAUCCCUCAAUCGUACAACCAACGACUCAAUUGGUUGGAUUCUGUACGAAUUUGCCUUGCUGUCACUUCUCUUAGUACUAUCUUGCAAAAUUUAGGGAUUAUUGGUAUGAAAUGGUACGAGUUUGUUAAUAUUUUGUCUCAUUACGAUGUUUUGAUUCUUGAUUUUGGGGAGAAGUUCAAAUUUGGGGGGGGGGGGGGGGGGGAAACAUGUGGAAAACGAAAAAUCCCACAUCGGUUGGAGCACAAUUUUGUGCAUUUCUUGGGUUUUAUAAAUAGAAACCCUUCCUCUCAUUUUUUGGGGAAUGAACAAUGGAAGAGGCCAAAUUUAUGGUUUCUACACCUCAAAGGGUUUAUGACAACCCUAAGGGCUUGAACACUCAAAAAUUCGGCUAAAGCCUUGAGUUUCGAGGAAGUUAGAGCCCGUAGUUUAAUUGUUGAAGUCGAUUCGAUUCGUCGAAAUUGUCAAGUUUGGUGAAAGGUGAUUAAUUCGACCUCGUUGCCCCCGUCGCUGCUCGACAAAAAGGCACAAAAAUAAAGAAUGUUCAGGGAAUAUCAUAAGGAUAAAUAUGACAUGUGGAGCAUAAACAUGGAAUAAAUAUGACAUGUCGAGCAUAAGCAUGGAAUCUGGAUCAGGGGAAUGACAAGAAGAAAACUACUAAAGACGAGGCAAAAAACUUAGACAUUUGGAGCUUCGACAAAGAAUAAAGAAAGAAUGGAAUUGCAACUAAAUGUCCUAGAAGGCAAGGAGAUAGGCUUAGUUAACUAACCCUUCUCCACCAUCCUCUUCUCCCUCUCUUUACUUACUUUAAAG